Molecule: ribosomal RNA, 468 nt
Filed under: uncultured bacterium
Lineage: Bacteria
Description: partial 16S ribosomal RNA
Rfam family: Bacterial small subunit ribosomal RNA
Source: RNAcentral
GACGAACGCUGGCGGCGUGCUUAACACAUGCAAGUCGAACGGAAAGGCCCUGCUUUUGUGGGGUGCUCGAGUGGCGAACGGGUGAGUAACACGUGAGUAACCUGCCCUUGAAUUUGGGAUAACUUCAGGAAACUGGGGCUAAUACCGGAUAGGAGCUCCUGCUGCAUGGUGGGGGUUGGAAAGUUUCGGCGGUUGGGGAUGGACUCGCGGCUUAUCAGCUUGUUGGUGGGGGAGGGGCUUACCAAGGCUUGGACGGGUAGGCCGCCUGAGAGGGUGACCGGCCUCAUUGCUCCUGCGAUACGCCCCAGUCUCCUACGUGCGGCAGUAGUCGGGAAUCUUGCACAAUGGGCCCACGCCUGAUGCGGCAACGCUGCGUGCGUGAUGACCGCCUUCGGGUUGUAAACCGCUUUCGCCUUUUACGAAGCGUGAGUGACGGUACCUGGUAAAGAAGCACCGGCUAACUACGUG